UGCCUCAGUAACGGCGAGUGAAGCGGCAAGAGCUCAAAUUUGAAAGCUGGCUCCUUCGGAGUCCGCAUUGUAAUUUGCAGAGGAUGCUUUGGGUGCGGCCCCCGUCUAAGUGCCCUGGAACGGGCCGUCAGAGAGGGUGAGAAUCCCGUCUUGGGCGGGGUGUCCGUGCCCGUGUAAAGCUCCUUCGACGAGUCGAGUUGUUUGGGAAUGCAGCUCUAAAUGGGUGGUAAAUUUCAUCUAAAGCUAAAUACUGGCCGGAGACCGAUAGCGCACAAGUAGAGUGAUCGAAAGAUGAAAAGCACUUUGAAAAGAGAGUUAAACAGCACGUGAAAUUGUUGAAAGGGAAGCGCUUGCGACCAGACUCGCCCGCGGGGUUCAGCCGGCAUUCGUGCCGGUGUACUUCCCCGUGGGCGGGCCAGCGUCGGUUUGGGCGGCCGGUCAAAGGCCCCUGGAAUGUAGUACCCUCCGGGGUACCUUAUAGCCAGGGGUGCAAUGCGGCCAGCCUGGACCGAGGAACGCGCUUCGGCACGGACGCUGGCAUAAUGGUCGUAAACGAC
Molecule: ribosomal RNA, 557 nt
Filed under: Aspergillus sp. trijbl1112
Lineage: Eukaryota; Fungi; Ascomycota; Eurotiomycetes; Eurotiales; Aspergillaceae
Description: eukaryotic LSU rRNA
Rfam family: Eukaryotic large subunit ribosomal RNA
Source: RNAcentral